UUGGAGGGCAAGUCUGGUGCCAGCAGCCGCGGUAAUUCCAGCUCCAAUAGCGUAUAUUAAAGUUGUUGCAGUUAAAAAGCUCGUAGUUGAAUUUCGGGGUCAGUAGGUUGGUCAUGCCACUGGUAUGUACUGGUCUCACUGAUUCCUCCUUCCUGAUGAGCUGUAAUGCCAUUAAUUUGGUGUUGCGGGGAAUCUGGACUGUUACUUUGAAAAAAUUAGAGUGUUUAAAGCAGGCUAACGCCUGAAUACAUUAGCAUGGAAUAAUGAAAUAGGACGUUCGAUCCUAUUUUGUUGGUUUCUAGGAUUGACGUAAUGAUUAAUAGGGAUAGUUGGGGGCAUUAGUAUUCAAUUGUCAGAGGUGAAAUUCUUGGAUUUAUUGAAGACUAACUACUGCGAAAGCAUUUGCCAAGGAUGUUUUCAUUAAUCAAGAACGAAAGUUAGGGGAUCGAAGACGAUCAGGUACCGUCGUAGUCUUAACCAUAAACUAUGCCGACUAGGGAUCGGAUGAUGUUAAUUUUUUAAUGACUCAUUCGGCGCCUUACGGGAAAC
This 549-nucleotide ribosomal RNA is filed under the name uncultured Glomeraceae. RNAcentral's name for it is "SSU rRNA". It matches the Rfam family "Eukaryotic small subunit ribosomal RNA", at positions 548 to 1098 of the family's 1831-position model. Lineage: Eukaryota; Fungi; Glomeromycota; Glomeromycetes; Glomerales; Glomeraceae. The record is from RNAcentral.